Molecule: ribosomal RNA, 496 nt
Filed under: Globigerinella siphonifera
Lineage: Eukaryota; Foraminifera; Rotaliida; Globigerinidae
Description: bacterial SSU rRNA
Rfam family: Eukaryotic small subunit ribosomal RNA
Source: RNAcentral
AUUUGACUCAACGCGGGGAAUCUUACCGGGUCCGGACACACUGAGGAUUGACAGACAAUUGUCUUUUUGUCAAAUUUAAAGACAAAAGAUAACAGAUCUUUCAUGAUUAUGUGAUGGGUGGUGCAUGGCCGUUCUUAGUUCGUGGAGUGAUCUGUCUGCUUAAUUGCGUUUCAAAUAUAUUUUAUUAUAUAACGAGUCUACAAAGGAGUGGUUCAUUAACAGACAAUCAUAUCUUUGAGCGUCUGGAAUCUACUCUAUUUGGCUCAAUUGAACGCAACGGACGUGAUCGCGAGUCCUUGUUGAACUUCAGUAUAUAUUGACUUUCCCCGUAGGAAGGGAUUGGCAAUAAUUGAAUGUUCGCUUUCUAUAGGUGUGUAUGAUUAAUCUCAAAAUUACAUGUAUUUGUAGUGGCGAGUAUAAUCUAUCCUAUAGGAAAACUCGGGCGACCGCUGUAAUAUUUCUCUUUAAAACAGAGGAAGAUUGCGGCAAUAACAGG